CAUAAUCAUUAGUCUUUUAAUUGGAGACUGGAAUGAAAGAGUAAACCGGGAGAACUUUUUUUCAGUUGAGAAAAUGAAUUUUACUUUUUAGUAAGAAGGCUAAAAUAUUACUUUUAGACAAGAAGACCCUAUAAAACUUUAUACUUUUUCUUUCUUAGUNNNUGAAAGAAAAGUAUUUCGCUGGGGCGGUGGAGGAAAANCNNACUUUCUUUAAAAAAAGUAACGGACUUGUUUUAAUACCUAGAAGUUCUAAAAAAGAAAUAAGUUACUUUAGGGAUAACAGCUUAAUUUACUUAGAAAGAUCAAAUUGACAAGUAAGUUUAUGACCUCGAUGUUGAAUUAAAAGUCCUUU
RNAcentral lists this ribosomal RNA (352 nucleotides) under Androctonus australis (Sahara scorpion). RNAcentral describes it as "partial 16S ribosomal RNA". It matches the Rfam family "Archaeal large subunit ribosomal RNA", at positions 2037 to 2619 of the family's 2987-position model. Lineage: Eukaryota; Metazoa; Arthropoda; Arachnida; Scorpiones; Buthidae. The record is from RNAcentral.